GACUUUUCUGCUCUUACUGUAACCUUCAUAAAUUUGCUAACUUGUCUGCCUUCCUUUCUUCCCAUCAGUUCAUUUUGGUGAAACUUGUUGAAUGAUUUCUUUAACUGUGAUGUUUAGAGAAAAUCCUACUUUUCUUCCUCGAUUUCCCUCCUUAUGCUUGUUGACCUUUAAAAAAACUGUCAUUUGCUUUACUCAGGUAAGACAGAAGUGAGUCCCCUCAUGUGACUGUGUGAGGAGUAGUUUUGUAAUACAUUCAUUCCACUUCUUUGUCAGUUCAAGGUAGUUUGCCUUUAAGUGUACUAUUUUAGCUUAGAUUUUUGAAAGGUAUGUUGCUUUCCAUUUGCCAAAUGAACAUAAAAUAUAACUGCAUCAAUUAGGAGUUGAUAGAUAUGAAAAACUAGUGCUAAGAAUGUUAAAUCUAUUAAAAUUCAAUAGAGCAGGAUCCGAUAAAGAGGACAGAUGGAAGAAUAUGUGUGCUGAAGAAAAAGACUGUUGGGUUGAUUAUUUCUGUUUGUGGAGGAUGGGGGAUAUAUUUUAUGUUGUCCUUACUGCUAUAUCGAAGCACUUGUACAUUUUAUCCUUCUCUGGUAACUCAACUCCCUGAAUCUCAAACCAUGUAAAACUGCUGGGUACUUAAUAUUCUUUUACUUCUUUUAAGGAGGAUAAUCUUGUAUUUUACUCAGAUGUAAAUAUCAGACAAUUGGAAUACCAUUCCAAGUUGAAGAAUAUGAGCCUACAGACAGGCUUCCAAGUUUCCAAAUGCAGUUUUCUAUUUCCCAUGACAUCUGUAAGGAAUUAGCACUUGUUUCAGAUUAUUUUUCUGUGUAUGCUAAUAACUCCUCUAUACCGUAAUAAAAUAGUCUACUUUUCGUAGUCUCAAUUUAUAUUUUCCUGAUACACAGUAAAUUUUUCAGCAAUACCAUAAACUGCAGCUUCAAAUUAAGGUGGGAGGGAAUAAUUUUAUAGCCAAAUUUUGCUCUCAAUUACACUGAGAUAAACCUGGAAUCACUCUCUGAAAGUCAGUGGAGUGAUAUCCAAUUUCACUGGUAUAAUUGAGUGUAUAAUUUGUGUCUUUAAUUUUACUUGCAAGAUAAUUUUACAAACCUGUUAUACUUAUGUUUCCAAUACUUUUUCCUUUCAGACACACCCACUUCUUGCGUCUCAGCACUGGGCAGGCCUAUUCCUUUAUUUGUGUAUAUUUUUGUGCAUCAACUGCUAUAGGACACGGGUGUAACACUUUCAGGCAUGUGGUUGGGUGUCUUUUUGGGGUUUGUAAUAAUGUCUAAAAAUAAGAAUUUCUUUUCCUCAAAUUUAUUAAUGAAUUCAUGUUGGAUCACAGUUUUGCAUCUCUAACCUGAUUUUAGAUACAUAUUAAGUAGAGAUUGUCUUGAAAGAAAUACAGAUCUUUGGUGGGGAGAGUUGAUAAAAAUGUACUGCAUUCUGCAGAAAUUAAUGUUUUGGUAUUUAAUGUUUCUUGAAAGGUGGUUUUACAGAUCAUGCUCCUUCCUCUUCAUGGAAUGGCUUUCAAAGCCUUGUAUUGAUCUUGGUUUUGCCCAGUGCUUUGCCUAGUGUAUGGGGAAAUGUUGUAGAACUUGAAUAGGCCAUGACAUCUUAGACAAAGGAUGAUGAUUAUGUGCAUGCUGAACACGAACUUCUUCUAUAUGCCCUUCUGCUGCAACAGAAUAAUAAAACUGGUAGGUGGCAGCAGCAGCAGCAGAAGAAACUCAUGACUGUGACCUGAGAAACCUCCAGUACUGGGAGAAAUGGAUUGCAAAAUACUAACUGGAGUAAGGGGAAUGGAGGAGAAAGGCAGAGUCCCUGAACUGUCCCUUUGAAUGGAGUCUAAUGCGUGUGAAAGAUGCUGGAUCACCGGUUGCAGAGAUUGAACUCUACCUACUGGAAAGGUUUUUCUGCAGCAACAGGAGGUCGUCUUUUGCCUCUUAUGGGGACAUUUAGCCUUUUGAUAAUGCCUCCAUCACAAUGAAGGGAAGAAAGGAUGGACCAGCAAUGAUGUGGAAUGGAGUGAUGUCCACAUAUGGCAUUAACAGUCAUUAUGAUCCCUGUCCUAAUAACAUGGAUAACUGAAUAAAGAGUUGAAUUGUAAUUCA
Molecule: long non-coding RNA, 2108 nt
Organism: Manacus vitellinus (golden-collared manakin)
Lineage: Eukaryota; Metazoa; Chordata; Aves; Passeriformes; Pipridae
Exons: 3
Source: RefSeq, a predicted model, not a curated record